Non-coding RNA from Nicotiana tabacum (common tobacco), 774 nucleotides. NCBI's taxonomy places the organism in Eukaryota, Viridiplantae, Streptophyta, Magnoliopsida, Solanales, Solanaceae. The record is from RefSeq and is a predicted model, not a curated record.
UUGAAGCGACACAAAAUCUUUCAAUGAAACUGAAUAUGACACAAAAGAUGAAGUCCAAUCCCCAUGAGGGAAAAUUAGCAAAUAGUUUUUCUCCAAAUAUACAAAUGGCGAAAAGUCAACAGAAUAAGAAGAAGAAAUCUGUUGCAAAUACAAUAAACGAUAAUCUUUCCAAUCAAAUUAGUAGCAAAAGACAAAAGUUUAAUGAGAAAUCAGUGCUUCCCCAUCCAAUUCGCAAAGGGAAGAGCGUGUUGGAUAAUAUUACAGAUCAGACGAAUGUUGAUUAGGUGAGUUCUGAUUUCAAGCUGGACUUAGAUUGAUUAGGUCGGUAAUUUUAAAUUUUUGAAAACUUAUUUUAACCUAUAACGUAGUAUUAUAUUGUUGCCAUUCAACCAAUAACAACAAUAAUAACAACUAUCAAAACUAUAUUAACAAAAUUUAUGGAGUUUCAAAAAGGCCAACAACUAAACUUUCACAAGUUAAAACUUCACAUCAUUCAAUGAGUGCUAUGUACAUCUCCAUUUCCACUUCUAGAAGCUUCAUCGUCGGCAUGAUUCGAAGGAUCACAACGAAAAGGAUUAGCAUUUGGGUAAGACUCACGAGACCGGAGAAUCGGGAAAGCACCAUUAGCAAGAAGAUUGGUCAGACCUUGAAGGACAUUAAUUACACUUACAUAUAUAUGACAAGCAUUGAUGCUUUAAUUUAUUCUCAAUAGUUCAUUACAGCGCUCGAAUGCUUGAUCGGUGAAUAAAUAAGAAAACAAAUCUUGAAGUUUAA